AUUGAACGCUGGCGGCAUGCUUUACACAUGCAAGUCGAACGGCAGCACGGGCUUCGGUCUGGUGGCGAGUGGCGAACGGGUGAGUAAUAUAUCGGAACGUACCCAGCAGUGGGGGAUAACGUAGCGAAAGUUACGCUAAUACCGCAUACGAUCUAUGGAUGAAAGCAGGGGACCGCAAGGCCUUGUGCUCCUGGAGCGGCCGAUAUCUGAUUAGCUAGUUGGUGCGGUAGAGGCUCACCAAGACGACGAUCAGUAGCUGGACUGAGAGGACGACCAGCCAGACUGGAACUGAGACACGGUCCAGACGCCUACGGGAGGCAGCAGUGGGGAAUUUUGGACAAUGGGCGCAAGCCUGAUCCAGCAAUGCCGCGUGAGUGAAGAAGGCCUUCGGGGUGUAAAGCUCUUUUGUCAGGGAAGAAACGGUAGAGGCUAAUAUCCUUGGCUAAUGACGGUACCUGAAGAAUAAGCACCGGCUAACUACGUG
This 484-nucleotide ribosomal RNA is filed under the name uncultured bacterium. Its description in RNAcentral is "partial 16S ribosomal RNA". It matches the Rfam family "Bacterial small subunit ribosomal RNA", at positions 30 to 507 of the family's 1533-position model. The record is from RNAcentral.